Non-coding RNA from Doryrhamphus excisus (bluestripe pipefish), 529 nucleotides. The record is from RefSeq and is a predicted model, not a curated record. NCBI's taxonomy places the organism in Eukaryota, Metazoa, Chordata, Actinopteri, Syngnathiformes, Syngnathidae.
CAUGGAUGGAGACAGCAGAACCGCUGAAACAUGAAGAAAACACAAAAAGGUGGACAGACAGGUCAUUAAAUAAUAGCAGAUAGAAAUGACGACUCCCGCAGUUGAGCCUUGCAGUAAGGUCUGCACUGACAUUGAGAAGCACUGCCUUACCUUCACAUCGCAUCAAUUUGACCAUGGCAUGUCCGGCAUGAUAGAGUGAAAAGUAGUUCUCCUCCCAUCCUGUGUGGAAGUGGUAAGUUUUUGUCUUCUUCACUUUAUUCAGUUUAGAAAUAAAUAAAUAUAAACGCAAUGAGAUGGACUUAAAGAUCCAAAAUUCAUUCCAGAUACACAAUAUUACCAUUUCUCUCAAACAUUGUUCACAAAUCUGUCUAAGUGUGUGAUAGUGAGCACUUGUUGCUUUGCGGAGAUAAUCCAUCCAACCUCAUAGGUGUGCCUUAGACUGUCCACAAUAAAAGGCCACCCAGAAAUGUGCAUUUUUUUUUUUUGCUUUAUUGGGGGUCUGGGGACUCAGAACCAGUCAGUAUCUGGG